Molecule: small RNA, 67 nt
Filed under: Pontibacillus yanchengensis Y32
Lineage: Bacteria; Bacillati; Bacillota; Bacilli; Caryophanales; Bacillaceae
Description: Bacillaceae-1 RNA
Rfam family: Bacillaceae-1 RNA
Source: Rfam by way of RNAcentral
UUUAGGGGAGGUUCAACUAAGACCGUCACAUCGAUUGACAACGUUGAACUACCUUACGUCGUGUAGG